RNAcentral lists this long non-coding RNA (2119 nucleotides) under Lactuca sativa (garden lettuce). RNAcentral describes it as "long non-coding RNA (LSAT_LNC006577)". Lineage: Eukaryota; Viridiplantae; Streptophyta; Magnoliopsida; Asterales; Asteraceae. The record is from RNAcentral.
UGAAGUAUUUGUCUUGAUUAGAAUCCACACUAUCUCUUGAAUAUUUGACAAGAGAGUCUUAUAUGUCAAGAGGACAGUGGGGGUCUUAAAGGUCUUGAAAGUCUCAAGAUCUAAUCAAGAAUAAAACCUGAAGUUCUUCACUAGCACACGACUUAAGGCUUAUAACCUAUCGUGUUGACAUAUUCUGUGCCCAUUCCAAUUAAAGUUGGCUUUGCAUAUGAGUUCUUAGAGUUCUCAAUUGGUUGCACAACAACUUGGAAGAAAUGGCAGGCCCUUGAGCUACCAGAUGACAAGAAAUUAAGAUUGAGUUCAGUCCAUACAAGUUUGGAUUUGUCAUUAUCCUUGUCUUGUGACUAUGGUUUUGACAAUUCACAUGGAUAAGAACACAUACACCAUUAAAUCUAAGUGUCAUAAGGUUUCUCUCCGAUUCAUGAAAAUGAUGGUGAGGAAACACUUUCACUAAGUAGAUUUUAGCUAGAUAGCAAUUGUGAUAUUUGCAUUCUCAAAGUCGUUAGUGGAGCGUGUGUGGUUAACCGGCAGACUAACCUGGACUUGUGAGAAGUGGCAAAAAGGUCUAACCAUUAUGAUUACGGCAUCCCUCUUCAUAAUUGUUUAGACACACAAGUGUGCUAUCUAAGGGAAGGUGUAUGAUUUUGAUAAAGUCUUAUCAAAACAAUCUAGUAUCAGAAAUCUGAACUUUGGUAAGAAAGUCAAUGAAGUAUUGAUUUCUAGAAGUCCAGCUGAUUUCUGGGUACAUGUCAAAGCUAGUGGGAGCAUAAGUGUUAUGCUAAUAAUCAUCAUGUUAGUGGGAGCAUGAUAAUUAUGAUAAGUAUUGCAAGUUAGCAAUGUUAAUUAUAGAAAACAAAAGGUUUCAAUUGGGAAAAAGUUGUUUUUCUAUAAUUAAGGGAGAGGAAAUUAUACUUCAUCUCAAAUCUAAAAGCUUAGAUUGAGGUUUUAAUCGUAUUUAGUCAAGAAUAUAUAUAUGAAUGUUAUGUUGAAAUGGAUGAACAUAAGAAAAUUCUAUAUAUGGGUCCAUUGUUUACGUUCUAAAUUUCGAUUAUGAUUACGACAUCCCUUUUCAUAAUCUGAAUUAUGAGAACUUGGCAAAUAGAAAUGGAAAUGGUAUAGCAAAAGACUGGUUUAGCCUCUAUGUGGGACAUCAUGAAUCGUAUCCCAUAUGCUUCGGAUAUAGGAUCGAUUACAUGUGCUAUAUUCAUAUUUUCUAAAAUUUUCCAAAUGGAUGGGGAAUUAAGAAGGGAAAAGGUCUAGAAUUGGAUAUGACUAAAAUGAUUAAAAAAUUGUCAAGGACAAUCUAAGGUUUACCAAAGAUUGGUUGCUCAAGGACAGUUGGAAGCAUAGUGAUAAUUCUGGAAGGAACAUAUUGACAUAAUCUAUAAGGAGGCAACUCUUAUUCAGAAGUGAUAGUCAAAAUGGAAUCUGGAAAUGUUUCAAAGUUAGAAAUUAUUCACUCUGUGUAAGAUUAGGAAACUUAAUGCAAGAAGGAUGUUUCCAAGGAGAUGAUCUCCUUUGGAAUGCUCUGUAAUGGUUGUUGUCAAGUCUUUCUGAUUUUGUGCAUAAUGAUUACAAGAAGAUCAAUGCAUAUAAGUUUAGAAUCUAACAGAUUUCAGUAAAUGGCAUGAAUUUGGAAUUCUUGCAUUUGCAGUAAGGAUUUGGGACUGUGAAAAGAGGAUCAUUGGAGGUAUGUUCAAUUGAUCUAAUUCACAAAGUGAAGAUCAUAGACAAACAUAGCAUGCAUACUUGGUGUAUGGCAUGACUAGUGUUUAGAAAACAUAGUGUACAUGCUUGGAGCAUGGGACAACUAUUAUUUUAAAUUCAAAAAUAAAGUUGAUAGCUGAAACAUUAUACAAUGAAUAAUGUGUAAUCAUAUGGUGAUAAAUAAAAGGUGUUUUAUUUAUGUUCAUAGGUUUUGAUACCAUAUUGGAUUCAAUUAUUAUUGUGUUUCACUUUGCAUGUUUUGACUUCCCGAAUAAACUAGGUUAUUCUUCCGGAAUGACUAAGUUAUUCAAACCAUCCACAGUCGGUCAUAUGUUGGAAGUAGAUAUGAAUUAAGACUGUCAUGGGUUGGCUUGUAGAGGUCUAAGGUGUUGGACAAAGGGCU